GACGGACGCUGGCGGCGUGCCUAAUACAUGCAAGUAGAACGCACAGUUUAUACCGUAGCUUGCUACACCAUAGACUGUGAGUUGCGAACGGGUGAGUAACGCGUAGGUAACCUGCCUGGUAGCGGGGGAUAACUAUUGGAAACGAUAGCUAAUACCGCAUAAUAUUAAUUAUUGCAUGAUAAUUAAUUGAAAGGUGCAAUUGCACCACUACCAGAUGGACCUGCGUUGUAUUAGCUAGUAGGUGAGGUAACGGCUCACCUAGGCGACGAUACAUAGCCGACCUGAGAGGGUGAUCGGCCACACUGGGACGGAGACACGGCCCAGACUCCUACGGGAGGCAGCAGUAGGGAAUCUUCGGCAAUGGACGAAAGUCUGACCGAGCAACGCCGCGUGAGUGAAGAAGGUUUUCGGAUCGUAAAGCUCUGUUGUAAGAGAAGAACGGGUGUGAGAGUGGAAAGUUCACACUGUGACGGUAUCUUACCAGAAAGGGACGGCUAACUACGUG
Molecule: ribosomal RNA, 505 nt
Filed under: uncultured bacterium
Lineage: Bacteria
Description: partial 16S ribosomal RNA
Rfam family: Bacterial small subunit ribosomal RNA
Source: RNAcentral